RNAcentral lists this ribosomal RNA (492 nucleotides) under uncultured bacterium. Its description in RNAcentral is "partial 16S ribosomal RNA". It matches the Rfam family "Bacterial small subunit ribosomal RNA", at positions 29 to 507 of the family's 1533-position model. The record is from RNAcentral.
AGUGAACGCUGGCAGUAGGCCUAACACAUGCAAGUCGAACGGCAGCACAGUAAGAGCUUGCUCUUACGGGUGGCGAGUGGCGGACGGGUGAGGAAUACAUCGGAAUCUACUUUUUCGUGGGGGAUAACGUAGGGAAACUUACGCUAAUACCGCAUACGACCUACGGGUGAAAGCAGGGGAUCUUCGGACCUUGCGCGAUUGAAUGAGCCGAUGUCGGAUUAGCUAGUUGGCGGGGUAAAGGCCCACCAAGGCGACGAUCCGCAGCUGGUCUGAGAGGAUGAUCAGCCACACUGGAACUGAGACACGGUCCAGACUCCUACGGGAGGCAGCAGUGGGGAAUAUUGGACAAUGGGCGCAAGCCUGAUCCAGCCAUACCGCGUGGGUGAAGAAGGCCUUCGGGUUGUAAAGCCCUUUUGUUGGGAAAGAAAAGCAGCAGGUUAAUACCCCGCUGUUCUGACGGUACCCAAAGAAUAAGCACCGGCUAACUUCGUG